UUGUGGAUAGGAUGGUCUGGCCUAUUGCUCUUUCCUUGUGCUUAUUUCGCUUUAGGGGGUUGGUUUACAGAGACAACUUUUAUAACUUCUUGGUAUACCCAUGGAUUGGCUAGUUUCUAUUUGGAAGGUUGUAAUUUCUUAACCGCAACAGUUUCUACCCCUGCCAAUAGUUUAGCAACUCUUUGUUGCUACUAUGGGGGCCCGAAGCACAAGGAGAUUUUAGUCGUUGGUGUCAAUUAG
This 240-nucleotide ribosomal RNA is filed under the name Triticum aestivum (bread wheat). RNAcentral describes it as "partial small subunit ribosomal RNA". The record is from RNAcentral. Lineage: Eukaryota; Viridiplantae; Streptophyta; Magnoliopsida; Poales; Poaceae.